AACGCACAUUGCGCCCUUUGGUAUUCCGAAGGGCAUGCCUGUUCGAGCGUCAUUAUCACCCCUCAAGCCCGGCUUGCUGUUGGUGCCGGCGUGGCUUUAGGCCUCGUCCCGCCCAAAGAUAAUGACGGCGUUUGUGAGGACCCCUGUACACUGAGCUCUCGGGCACGUACACGGUUGGGAGUCCAGGCGCCGGUCGACGUCCGCAAGGACACUUUUUCUAAGGUUGACCUCGGAUCAGGUAGGGAUACCCGCUGAACUUAA
RNAcentral lists this unclassified non-coding RNA (261 nucleotides) under uncultured fungus. Its description in RNAcentral is "partial contains 5.8S ribosomal RNA, internal transcribed spacer 2, and large subunit ribosomal RNA". The stretch from base 1 to 52 matches the Rfam family "5.8S ribosomal RNA", at positions 103 to 154 of the family's 154-position model. Lineage: Eukaryota; Fungi. The record is from RNAcentral.